This 251-nucleotide ribosomal RNA is filed under the name uncultured bacterium. RNAcentral describes it as "partial 16S ribosomal RNA". It matches the Rfam family "Bacterial small subunit ribosomal RNA", at positions 525 to 775 of the family's 1533-position model. The record is from RNAcentral.
ACGUAGGGAGCAAGCGUUGUCCGGAAUUACUGGGCGUAAAGGGUGCGUAGGUGGCCAUGUAAGUCAGGUGUGAAAGACCGGGGCUCAACCCCGGGGUUGCACUUGAAACUGUGUGGCUUGAGUACAGGAGAGGGAAGUGGAAUUCCUAGUGUAGCGGUGAAAUGCGUAGAUAUUAGGAGGAACACCAGUGGCGAAGGCGACUUUCUGGACUGUAACUGACACUGAGGCACGAAAGCGUGGGGAGCAAACAG